Molecule: non-coding RNA, 99 nt
Organism: Acanthosepion pharaonis
Lineage: Eukaryota; Metazoa; Mollusca; Cephalopoda; Sepiida; Sepiidae
Source: the annotation of a GenBank genome assembly
GUUGAAACACCAAUUCUCGUACGAUCAACGAAGUUAAGCAAAGUCGAGCAUGGUCAGUGCCUAGAUGGGUGACCGAUUGUGAAUACCAGAUGUUGUAAG